RNAcentral lists this long non-coding RNA (603 nucleotides) under Marmota monax (woodchuck). Lineage: Eukaryota; Metazoa; Chordata; Mammalia; Rodentia; Sciuridae. The record is from RNAcentral.
GCAUAAAGGACUUAUGAAACACCAUCAAGCAGGUCACUAGAUGCAGUAUAAGCAUUCAAGAAGAAGGAGGGACAGAGAAAGGAAGAAAUAUUGGCUAAAACCUUCACAAAUUUAAGAAAAGGCAUGGCCCUGUAAAUCCAAGGGCUCAGUGAAGUGCAUGUUAAACCCUAAGAAACUCAUAUACCAAGACACAUUAUUAUCAAAGCGUCAAAAGACAAAGAGGAAAUCCAAAAGUAGCAAAAGAAAAGCAACUCAUUACAUACAAAGGACUCCUAAUAAGUUUAUCAGUGGAUUUCUCCAAUAGUCAGAAGAAAUCUUGCAAGCCAGAGACAAUGGGACAAUGUAUUUGAUGUGCUGGAAGAAAAACUGUCAACUGAGAAUUCUGUACCUGGCAAAACUGUCUUUCAAAAAUGAGGAAGAAAUUAAAACAUUGUCAGAUAUACAAAAGUGGAGGGAGUUCAUGACCAUUUUAUCUUUCCUAUAAGAAAUUAUAAAGGAAACCUGUUAGGUAGAAAUAUGACAGGGUGCUAGGCAGUAACAUGAAAUAAAAAUGUAAAGUUGUCCAGUAAAAGUAAUAAUUAUAUGGACAAAUAUAAAAAUCAG